GAUGAACGCUGGCGGCGUGCCUAAUACAUGCAAGUCGAGCGAACAGACGAGGAGCUUGCUCCUCUGACGUUAGCGGCGGACGGGUGAGUAACACGUGGAUAACCUACCUAUAAGACUGGGAUAACUUCGGGAAACCGGAGCUAAUACCGGAUAAUAUAUUGAACCGCAUGGUUCAAUAGUGAAAGACGGUUUUGCUGUCACUUAUAGAUGGAUCCGCGCCGCAUUAGCUAGUUGGUAAGGUAACGGCUUACCAAGGCGACGAUGCGUAGCCGACCUGAGAGGGUGAUCGGCCACACUGGAACUGAGACACGGUCCAGACUCCUACGGGAGGCAGCAGUAGGGAAUCUUCCGCAAUGGGCGAAAGCCUGACGGAGCAGCGCCGCGUGAGUGAUGAAGGUCUUCGGAUCGUAAAACUCUGUUAUUAGGGAAGAACAAAUGUGUAAGUAACUAUGCACGUCUUGACGGUACCUAAUCAGAGAGCCACGGCUAACUACGUG
Molecule: ribosomal RNA, 497 nt
Filed under: uncultured bacterium
Lineage: Bacteria
Description: partial 16S ribosomal RNA
Rfam family: Bacterial small subunit ribosomal RNA
Source: RNAcentral